UAACACGUAUCCAACCUGCCGUCUACUCUUGGACAGCCUUCUGAAAGGAAGAUUAAUACAAGAUGGCAUCAUGAGUCCACAUGUUCACAUGAUUAAAGGUAUUCCGGUAGACGAUGGGGAUGCGUUCCAUUAGAUAGUAGGCGGGGUAACGGCCCACCUAGUCUUCGAUGGAUAGGGGUUCUGAGAGGAAGGUCCCCCACAUUGGAACUGAGACACGGUCCAAACUCCUACGGGAGGCAGCAGUGAGGAAUAUUGGUCAAUGGGCGAGAGCCUGAACCAGCCAAGUAGCGUGAAGGAUGACUGCCCUAUGGGUUGUAAACCUCUUUUAUAAAGGAAUAAAGUCGGGUAUGGAUACCCGUUUGCAUGUACUUUAUGAAUAAGGAUCGGCUAACUCCGUGCCAGCAGCCGCGGUAAUACGGAGGAUCCGAGCGUUAUCCGGAUUUAUUGGGUUUAAAGGGAGCGUAGAUGGAUGUUUAAGUCAGUUGUGAAAGUUUGCGGCUCAACCGUAAAAUUGCAGUUGAUACUGGAUAUCUUGAGUGCAGUUGAGGCAGGCGGAAUUCGUGGUGUAGCGGUGAAAUGCUUAGAUAUCACGAAGAACUCCGAUUGCGAAGGCAGCCUGCUAAGCUGCAACUGACAUUGAGGCUCGAAAGUGUGGGUAUCAAACAGGAUUAGAUACCCUGGUAGUCCACACGGUAAACGAUGAAUACUCGCUGU
Molecule: ribosomal RNA, 714 nt
Filed under: uncultured bacterium
Lineage: Bacteria
Description: bacterial SSU rRNA
Rfam family: Bacterial small subunit ribosomal RNA
Source: RNAcentral